This 202-nucleotide ribosomal RNA is filed under the name uncultured prokaryote. RNAcentral's name for it is "partial 16S ribosomal RNA". It matches the Rfam family "Bacterial small subunit ribosomal RNA", at positions 524 to 725 of the family's 1533-position model. The record is from RNAcentral.
GACGUAGGGUGCGAGCGUUGUCCGGAGUUACUGGGCGUAAAGGGCGCGUAGGCGGCUGCCCGCGUCGCACGUGAAAGCCCCCGGCUCAACCGGGGAGGGUCGUGCGAGACGGGGUGGCUAGAGGCAGGGAGAGGCUGGUGGAAUUCCCGGUGUAGCGGUGAAAUGCGUAGAGAUCGGGAGGAACACCGGUGGCGAAGGCGGC